GACGAACGCUGGCGGCGUGCUUAACACAUGCAAGUCGAACGGAAAGGCUCCAGCUUGCUGGCGUACUCGAGUGGCGAACGGGUGAGUAACACGUGGGUAAUCUGCCCUGCACUCUGGGAUAAGCCUGGGAAACUGGGUCUAAUACUGGAUAUGACCUUUCUCCUUAUGGGGUUUGGUGGAAAGUUUUUCGGUGUAGGAUGAGCCCGCGGCCUAUCAGCUUGUUGGUGGGGUGAUGGCCUACCAAGGCGACGACGGGUAGCCGGCCUGAGAGGGUGAUCGGCCACAUUGGGACUGAGAUACGGCCCAGACUCCUACGGGAGGCAGCAGUGGGGAAUAUUGCACAAUGGGCGGAAGCCUGAUGCAGCGACGCCGCGUGAGGGAUGACGGCCUUCGGGUUGUAAACCUCUUUCAGCAGGGACGAAGCGUAAGUGACGGUACCUGCAGAAGAAGCACCGGCUAACUACGU
Molecule: ribosomal RNA, 466 nt
Filed under: uncultured bacterium
Lineage: Bacteria
Description: partial 16S ribosomal RNA
Rfam family: Bacterial small subunit ribosomal RNA
Source: RNAcentral